UGGUUUUUCUACUCUUGUUGCCAGGAU
This 27-nucleotide non-coding RNA is filed under the name Rattus norvegicus (Norway rat). The record is from RNAcentral. Lineage: Eukaryota; Metazoa; Chordata; Mammalia; Rodentia; Muridae.